CGAAGGGUGCAAGCGUUACUCGGAAUUACUGGGCGUAAAGGGUGCGUAGGUGGUUGUUUAAGUCUGCUGUGAAAGCCCCGGGCUCAACCUGGGAAUGGCAGUGGAUACUGGACAGCUAGAGUGCGGUAGAGGGUAGUGGAAUUCCCGGUGUAGCAGUGAAAUGCGUAGAGAUCGGGAGGAACACCAGUGGCGAAGGCGGCUACCUGGACCAGCACUGACACUCAAGCACGAAAGCGUGGGGAGCAAACAGGAUUAGAUACCCUGGUAGUCCACGCCCUAAACGAUGCGAACUGGACGUUGGGUGCAACUUGGCACUCAGUGUCGAAGCUAACGCGUUAAGUUCGCCGCCUGGGGAGUACGGUCGCAAGACUG
This 372-nucleotide ribosomal RNA is filed under the name uncultured organism. RNAcentral's name for it is "bacterial SSU rRNA". It matches the Rfam family "Bacterial small subunit ribosomal RNA", at positions 526 to 896 of the family's 1533-position model. The record is from RNAcentral.